AUUGAACGCUGGCGGCAUGCUUUACACAUGCAAGUCGAACGGUAACAGGGAGCUUGCUCCGCUGACGAGUGGCGAACGGGUGAGUAAUGCAUCGGAACGUACCCAGUCGUGGGGGGAUAACGUAGCGAAAGUUACGCUAAUACCGCAUACGUCCUGAGGGAGAAAGCGGGGGACCGAAAGGCCUCGCGCGAUUGGAGCGGCCGAUGUCGGAUUAGCUAGUUGGUAGGGUAAAGGCCUACCAAGGCGACGAUCCGUAGCGGGUCUGAGAGGAUGAUCCGCCACACUGGGACUGAGACACGGCCCAGACUCCUACGGGAGGCAGCAGUGGGGAAUUUUGGACAAUGGGGGCAACCCUGAUCCAGCCAUUCCGCGUGAGUGAAGAAGGCCUUCGGUUGUAAGACUCUUCUAGCAGGAACGAAACGGUAGGGCCGACUAAUACUAGGCUACUAA
RNAcentral lists this ribosomal RNA (450 nucleotides) under uncultured bacterium. Its description in RNAcentral is "bacterial SSU rRNA". It matches the Rfam family "Bacterial small subunit ribosomal RNA", at positions 30 to 478 of the family's 1533-position model. The record is from RNAcentral.